GUUUGCAGCUGAGCCACUUUGUUCUGUUAACCAAUCAGCCUUUCACAAGCAAGUUCACCCUGGGUUAGUAUUUGGAUUGAGGACCCCAUAGAAUACCUAGGUGCUGUAGGAA
Molecule: ribosomal RNA, 112 nt
Organism: Chelonoidis abingdonii (Abingdon island giant tortoise)
Lineage: Eukaryota; Metazoa; Chordata; Testudines; Testudinidae
Source: Ensembl